GUCUAAGGGCGUAUGGUGGAUGCCUUGGGAUAUUGAGGCGAUGAAGGGCGUGGCGUGACUGCGAUAAGUCCCGGUGAGGUGUCUAGCAACCUUUGACCCGGGAAUUUCCGAAUGGGGAAACCCUAUUGCGCAAACCGCAAUAACUCGCCUAGAUUUUUGGAGAUGUUAAAAAAGAGGGAUCGGUAUCGUUGCUGUCGGGAUCCAGAGCGAGGAGCAGACUGGCUCAGUCAAUAAUUCUCGCGACAGAUUCGUCCUCGAGAACAAAAUUAUUUGACGGCUCUGGUAUGUGCCUUCCAGUGUAAAAGUAUUUCUUCACGUGCCGAUCCCUCUUUAAAAGUUCUUUUCUAAGCAGAGGACAAAAAUUGUCCUCUCCAAAAAUCUGGGCGAGCGCAAACCCGCUGAAGUAAAACAUUCUAGUAAGCGGAGGAAAAGAAAAAACAAUCAGUUUUUUAUUUUAUCGGUUUAUGGUUUCCAUAAACUGACGAAAUAAUUAACUGAUCCAUUCCCUUAGUAGUGGCGAGCGAAAAGGGAAGAGCCCAAACCCAGUUAUACGCAUCUCAUUCUGUUUGAUGCGAAUUUUCAAUUUUUAAUUAUCAAUUUUCAAAUAAAUACCCCGCUUGCGGGCUUUGGAAAUUGGAAAUUGGGAUUUGGAAAUUCCGCCGCAUCGAGCAUAGCGAGAUGCGUGUGGUUGGGGGUUGUAAGAUGGUAACGCUUCGGAGCGAUCCGGAGAGGAGUCAACAAAGAUUAUCCUGUUAGCAGAAUCCGAAUGGAAAGUCGGAACCAAAGAGGGUAAUAGUCCCGUAAGCGAAAACAGUUUAAUGCUCCCGGUUAUCAAUCUUGAGUACGGCGAGGAACGAACGCCUUGUCGGAAACAGGCAAGACUAUUUGCCAAGGCUAAAUACUCAAUAUCACCGAUAGUGAACUAGUACCGCGAGGGAAAGGUGAAAAGCAGCCCGACGAGGGCGAUGAAAUAGAUCCUGAAACCAUAUGCUUACAAAGAGUCGGAGCCUUUGCAAGGCAAUGCAAGCACGAAAUCCGAAUAUCGAAAUCCUAAACAAAUCACAAAUCACAAAUCCCAAAUUUUAAAUUCCAAACCGAAUUCAUUCCGUUUGAAAUUUAUGAUUUUGAGAAUUGGAAUUUGUUUCGAAUUUCGAAUUUAUGAUUUCGAAUUUGCACUGCUUUGCAGUGGUGACGGCGUGCUUUUUGCAGAACGAUCCAACGAGGGUGAACCUUGAGUAAUAUCAAGGGGAGGCCCGAACACACGAGCCGUGCAACACUCGGUGAUGAACUGAGGUAAGAAGUGAAAAGCUAAUCGAGCCUGGUAAUAGCUGGUUCUCCCCGAAAUAGCUUUAGGGCUAGCCUCAAGCGUUUCUCAACGGAGGUAGAGCACUGAAUGGAAGCGGAUGGCUUUGCCUACUGCUUCUAAUCAAACUCCGAAUGCCGUUGAAUCAGAGCUUGGGAGUCAGACUGUGGGGGCUAAGCUCCAUGGUCAAAAAGGAAACAGCCUAUGAUCAUGAGCGCAGCUCGCGGACAAUUAACCUGUAACAUUUGACAGUUAACCCAAGAAGUUAAUUGUUAAUUGUAAAAUGUUAACUGUUCGCGAGCUACGCUCGCGUGGUAGGGGAGCAUUUCCAACUGCUGCGAAGCUCACGACGCGAGUCGGAGUGGAGCGAUACAGGAAAAUCCGUAUCGCAAUACUCCGAGAUUUGCCGGAAGUUCCUUCGGGAACAACUUCGUUGAGCGCGCUGCCAAGAAAAACCUCUAGAGCUAAAUUGACAGUGACCGUACCGAAAACCGACACAGGUGGGCGAGGCGA
RNAcentral lists this ribosomal RNA (1816 nucleotides) under Parcubacteria group bacterium GW2011_GWA1_42_7. RNAcentral describes it as "partial 23S ribosomal RNA". It matches the Rfam family "Bacterial large subunit ribosomal RNA", at positions 1 to 1675 of the family's 2925-position model. The record is from RNAcentral.